This 560-nucleotide long non-coding RNA is filed under the name Chrysolophus pictus (golden pheasant). Its description in RNAcentral is "lncRNA (ENSCPIG00010008890.1)". Lineage: Eukaryota; Metazoa; Chordata; Aves; Galliformes; Phasianidae. The record is from RNAcentral.
UGAAUGAUCUGUAUGACUUGCAAGCCAACAGUUUGGUUGCAAGUUUGAAUAGGGUAGUAAGUGGGACUGGCACAAAUGUCUGUUAAAAUGUUAAUAGAAAAUGCUAGCACAAAGAAGAGAUUAUUGCCACUCUUGAAUGCUGUUCUUAAGCUUUGAAAUGAGCUCUAACAAACCUCUGCAAGAACGUGAAGGUGCAAAGAGGGCUACCAAGGAGUCCGCUGUGACCAAUUUUUGCCGAAAACCGACUCAAUCUUGUCAGAUCCAAGAGAAGAGCCUCCAAAUGCCAGAGCUGUGCCGUGUUUAUGCAGCUGCAGUGAAUCACUGUUCCUUUAGCCUUUGCUGCUUUGAGGUGUCACGUAGGUGUCAAGUCUCAUCCAGAAAAAGAUGCAAGGAUUCGGUAAGCAUAAGAAUGAGCAGAGACAGCAUCCUGCCACUAGUUGCUGGAUAAAGAGGAGAAGGGAGCUGUAUCAUAUUGACAUGUGAAGAUAUGCAAAGCCAUUAUUCCUGCUCCGGCCGAUUAUUUUAAUAAAGUUACUUCCAUAAUAACUGAAAAUUGUCUC